This 584-nucleotide ribosomal RNA is filed under the name uncultured bacterium. RNAcentral describes it as "bacterial SSU rRNA". It matches the Rfam family "Bacterial small subunit ribosomal RNA", at positions 102 to 682 of the family's 1533-position model. The record is from RNAcentral.
ACGGGUGAGUAAUAUAUCGGAACGUGCCCUAGAGUGGGGGAUAACUAGUCGAAAGACUAGCUAAUACCGCAUACGAUCUAAGGAUGAAAGUGGGGGAUCGCAAGACCUCAUGCUCCUGGAGCGGCCGAUAUCUGAUUAGCUAGUUGGUGGGGUAAAAGCCUACCAAGGCGACGAUCAGUAGCUGGUCUGAGAGGACGACCAGCCACACUGGGACUGAGACACGGCCCAGACUCCUACGGGAGGCAGCAGUGGGGAAUUUUGGACAAUGGGGGCAACCCUGAUCCAGCAAUGCCGCGUGAGUGAAGAAGGCCUUCGGGUUGUAAAGCUCUUUUGUCAGGGAAGAAACGGUUCCAGCUAAUAUCUGGAGCUAAUGACGGUACCUGAAGAAUAAGCACCGGCUAACUACGUGCCAGCAGCCGCGGUAAUACGUAGGGUGCAAGCGUUAAUCGGAAUUACUGGGCGUAAAGCGUGCGCAGGCGGUUGUGUAAGACAGAUGUGAAAUCCCCGGGCUCAACCUGGGAAUUGCAUUUGUGACUGCACGGCUAGAGUGUGUCAGAGGGGGGUAGAAUUCCACGUGUAGCAGU